Molecule: ribosomal RNA, 654 nt
Filed under: uncultured archaeon
Lineage: Archaea
Description: bacterial SSU rRNA
Rfam family: Archaeal small subunit ribosomal RNA
Source: RNAcentral
GCCUAAAGCGUCCGUAGCCGGCUCUGUAAGUUUUCGGUUAAAUCUGUACGCUUAACGUACAGGCCGCCGGAAAUACUGCAGAGCUAGGGAGUGGGAGAGGUAGACGGUACUCGGGAGGAAGUGGUAAAAUGCUUUGAUCUCUCGAUGACCACCUGUGGCGAAGGCGGUCUACCAGAACACGUCCGACGGUGAGGGAUGAAAGCUGGGGGAGCAAACCGGAUUAGAUACCCGGGUAGUCCCAGCUGUAAACUAUGCAAACUCAGUGAUGCAUUGGCUUGUGGCCAAUGCAGUGUUGCAGGGAAGCCGUUAAGUUUGCCGCCUGGGAAGUACGUACGCAAGUAUGAAACUUAAAGGAAUUGGCGGGGGAGCACCACAAGGGGUGAAGCCUGCGGUUCAAUUGGAGUCAACGCCAGAAAUCUUACCCGGAGAGACAGCAGAAUGAAGGUCAAGCUGAAGACUUUACCAGACAAGCUGAGAGGUGGUGCAUGGCCGUCGCCAGCUCGUGCCGUGAGAUGUCCUGUUAAGUCAGGUAACGAGCGAGAUCCCUGCCUCUAGUUGCUACCAUUACUCUCAGGAGUAGUGGGGCGAAUUAGCGGGACUGCCGUAGUUAAUACGGAGGAAGGAGAGGGCCACGGCAGGUCAGUAUGCCCCGAA